UCUCUCUCUCUCUCGAUAAGAGCUCUCUGUCUACAUUUCACUGUUGCCCAGUCACCUCUCUGACUUGACCGUCGGAGGGUCCCCGCCGAAGCCGCCUCCGGUCAGUGCGGACUUCAUUUUGCAGGUGCACGCUCCCCGACGAUCGGACGAUGAGGCGAUUGGCCGCAACAAUGUCCACGCCUGGUAUCUUGCUCUUUCCAAAUGAUUCCAACUGCACCCCACUAUUCCUACUUAGGCGCAGUCCUCUCCUUUAUUAUUAACACAUACCUUCUUCGAUAUCUUCAAACAAGUAUCAUAUGGAGAGGGCACCAAAAAUGAAAAUAGAGGGCAGACCUUCUAGUUUGCUAUAUUUCCUUUGAUGCUCA
RNAcentral lists this long non-coding RNA (365 nucleotides) under Elaeis guineensis (African oil palm). RNAcentral's name for it is "long non-coding RNA (EGUI_LNC010951)". The record is from RNAcentral. Lineage: Eukaryota; Viridiplantae; Streptophyta; Magnoliopsida; Arecales; Arecaceae.